UCGACGGUAGCACAGAGAGCUUGCUCUCGGGUGACGAGUGGCGGACGGGUGAGUAAUGUCUGGGAAACUGCCUGAUGGAGGGGGAUAACUACUGGAAACGGUAGCUAAUACCGCAUAACGUCGCAAGACCAAAGAGGGGGACCUUCGGGCCUCUUGCCAUCAGAUGUGCCCAGAUGGGAUUAGCUAGUAGGUGGGGUAACGGCUCACCUAGGCGACGAUCCCUAGCUGGUCUGAGAGGAUGACCAGCCACACUGGAACUGAGACACGGUCCAGACUCCUACGGGAGGCAGCAGUGGGGAAUAUUGCACAAUGGGCGCAAGCCUGAUGCAGCCAUGCCGCGUGUAUGAAGAAGGCCUUCGGGUUGUAAAGUACUUUCAGCGGGGAGGAAGGUGUUGAGCUUAAUAACCUCAUCUAUUGACGUUACCCGCAGAAGAAGCACCGGCUAACUCCGUGCCAGCAGCCGCGGUAAUACGGAGGGUGCAAGCGUUAAUCGGAAUUACUGGGCGUAAAGCGCACGCAGGCGGUCUGUCAAGUCGGAUGUGAAAUCCCCGGGCUCAACCUGGGAACUGCAUUCGAAACUGGCAGGCUAGAGUCUUGUAGAGGGGGGGUAGAAUUCCAGGUGUAGCGGUGAAAUGCGUAGAGAUCUGGAGGAAUACCGGUGGCGAAGGCGGCCCCCUGGACAAAGACUGACGCUCAGGUGCGAAAGCGUGGGGGAGCAAACAGGAUUAGAUACCCUGGUAGUCCACGCCGUAAACGAUGUCGACUUGGAGGUUGUGCCCUUGAGGCGUGGCUUCCGGAGCUAACGCGUUAAGUCGACCGCCUGGGGAGUACGGCCGCAAGGUUAAAACUCAAAUGAAUUGACGGGGGCCCGCACAAGCGGUGGAGCAUGUGGUUUAAUUCGAUGCAACGCGAAGAACCUUACCUACUCUUGACAUCCAGAGAACUUAGCAGAGAUGCUUUGGUGCCUUCGGGAACUCUGAGACAGGUGCUGCAUGGCUGUCGUCAGCUCGUGUUGUGAAAUGUUGGGUUAAGUCCCGCAACGAGCGCAACCCUUAUCCUUUGUUGCCAGCGGUCCGGCCGGGAACUCAAAGGAGACUGCCAGUGAUAAACUGGAGGAAGGUGGGGAUGACGUCAAGUCAUCAUGGCCCUUACGAGUAGGGCUACACACGUGCUACAAUGGCGCAUACAAAGAGAAGCGACCUCGCGAGAGCAAGCGGACCUCAUAAAGUGCGUCGUAGUCCGGAUUGGAGUCUGCAACUCGACUCCAUGAAGUCGGAAUCGCUAGUAAUCGUGGAUCAGAAUGCCACGGUGAAUACGUUCCCGGGCCUUGUACACACCGCCCGUCACACCAUGGGAGUGGGUUGCAAAAGAAGUAGGUAGCUUAACCUUCGGGAGGGCGCUUACCACUUUGUGAUUCAUGAC
RNAcentral lists this ribosomal RNA (1422 nucleotides) under Enterobacter ludwigii. Its description in RNAcentral is "bacterial SSU rRNA". It matches the Rfam family "Bacterial small subunit ribosomal RNA". Lineage: Bacteria; Pseudomonadati; Pseudomonadota; Gammaproteobacteria; Enterobacterales; Enterobacteriaceae. The record is from RNAcentral.